GAUGAACGCUAGCGGCAGGCCUAAUACAUGCAAGUCGAACGGAAUAUAGUUUUCGGAUUAUAUUUAGUGGCGCACGGGUGAGUAACACGUACAUAACUUACCCUCAAGAGGGGGAUAGCCUUGGGAAACUGAGCGUAAUACCCCAUAGUAUUAUUGAACGGCAUCGUUUGAUAAUUAAAGCUACGGCGCUUGAGGAUAGAUGUGCGUCUGAUUAGCUAGUUGGUAAGGUAACGGCUUACCAAGGCGACGAUCAGUAGGGGGCGUGAGAGCGUGGCCCCCCCACACGGGUACUGAGACACGGACCCGACUCCUACGGGAGGCAGCAGUAAGGAAUAUUGGUCAAUGCCCGGAAGGGUGAACCAGCCAUGCCGCGUGAAGGAUGACUGCCCUCUGGGUUGUAAACUUCUUUUGGAUGGGACGAAAAAACGGGAUUUAUCCUGGACUGACGGUACCAUCAGAAUAAGCACCGGCUAACUCCGUG
RNAcentral lists this ribosomal RNA (481 nucleotides) under uncultured bacterium. RNAcentral describes it as "bacterial SSU rRNA". It matches the Rfam family "Bacterial small subunit ribosomal RNA", at positions 28 to 507 of the family's 1533-position model. The record is from RNAcentral.